CACUGCUCUGGUUCUCUCACCCUCC
RNAcentral lists this non-coding RNA (25 nucleotides) under Mus musculus (house mouse). Lineage: Eukaryota; Metazoa; Chordata; Mammalia; Rodentia; Muridae. The record is from RNAcentral.